GAGCUGUGAGGAAUCCUGUGCUCAUUGUGAUGACAGGGUCUAUCACUACCGUCCGAUCUACAUCAGACGACAUAGAGUGCAUCUGAGCUU
RNAcentral lists this small nucleolar RNA (90 nucleotides) under Salix viminalis (osier). Its description in RNAcentral is "small nucleolar RNA snoR114". It matches the Rfam family "small nucleolar RNA snoR114". The record is from Rfam by way of RNAcentral. Lineage: Eukaryota; Viridiplantae; Streptophyta; Magnoliopsida; Malpighiales; Salicaceae.